CAGCAGCCGCGGUAAUACGAAGGGGGCUAGCGUUGCUCGGAAUUACUGGGCGUAAAGGGCGCGUAGGCGGACAGUUCAGUCGGGGGUGAAAGCCCGGGGCUCAACCUCGGAAUUGCCUUCGAUACUGGCUGUCUUGAGUAUGAGAGAGGUGUGUGGAACUCCGAGUGUAGAGGUGAAAUUCGUAGAUAUUCGGAAGAACACCAGUGGCGAAGGCGACACAUUGGCUCAUUACUGACGCUGAGGCGCGAAAGCGUGGGGAGCGAACAGGAUUAGAUACCCGAGUAGUCCCUGUCUCUUAUAC
This 301-nucleotide ribosomal RNA is filed under the name uncultured bacterium. RNAcentral describes it as "partial 16S ribosomal RNA". It matches the Rfam family "Bacterial small subunit ribosomal RNA", at positions 509 to 807 of the family's 1533-position model. The record is from RNAcentral.